GGUCUAUUAACUUAGUUGGUUAGAAUGUUGUGUUAAUAAUACGAAAGUCGUAGGUUUAAUUCUUGUUUAGAUCA
Molecule: transfer RNA, 74 nt
Filed under: Glycine soja
Lineage: Eukaryota; Viridiplantae; Streptophyta; Magnoliopsida; Fabales; Fabaceae
Rfam family: tRNA
About the family: Transfer RNA (tRNA) molecules are approximately 80 nucleotides in length.
Source: Rfam by way of RNAcentral